UCCAGUGAAAAAACCGCGGCACAGGCAGCUCACGGGCCAUGAUCAAUCACUCUUCCAGUCAGCACUGAGCUCUCACCUCUCAGCCUCCCCUGAUCCAAUCCCCUUCCUCUCCACCGUUUCACUUCCUCCCCGAGCUCGGUUGGAUCCACUUCCAGCCGUCUUCCGUCCUCCGUCGAGCUAGCUCCUCCCGGCGACCUUCAACCGUGCACGAGCUGGAUCCACAGCGCCAGCUCGCUUCACCGUACAAUCCAAGUUCCAGCUACCAUCCGUCCUCCCGGCGGCCUUCAACCGUGCACGGCGUGGGAUCGUCUUCACCGUCCAAUCCAAGUUCACCGGUGGAGGAGACCGAUCAU
Long non-coding RNA from Hordeum vulgare subsp. vulgare (domesticated barley), 353 nucleotides. RefSeq lists it as uncharacterized. The record is from RefSeq and is a predicted model, not a curated record. NCBI's taxonomy places the organism in Eukaryota, Viridiplantae, Streptophyta, Magnoliopsida, Poales, Poaceae. The transcript has 3 exons.